Molecule: ribosomal RNA, 467 nt
Filed under: Streptococcus anginosus
Lineage: Bacteria; Bacillati; Bacillota; Bacilli; Lactobacillales; Streptococcaceae
Description: bacterial SSU rRNA
Rfam family: Bacterial small subunit ribosomal RNA
Source: RNAcentral
GACGAACGCGGCGGCGUGCCUAAUACAUGCAAGUAGGACGCACAGUUUAUACCGUAGCUUGCUACACCAUAGACUGUGAGUUGCGAACGGGUGAGUAACGCGUAGGUAACCUGCCUAUUAGAGGGGGAUAACUAUUGGAAACGAUAGCUAAUACCGCAUAACAGUAUGUAACACAUGUUAGAUGCUUGAAAGAUGCAAUUGCAUCGCUAGUAGAUGGACCUGCGUUGUAUUAGCUAGUAGGUAGGGUAAAGGCCUACCUAGGCAACGAUACAUAGCCGACCUGAGAGGGUGAUCGGCCACACUGGGACUGAGACACGGCCCAGACUCCUACGGGAGGCAGCAGUAGGGAAUCUUCGGCAAUGGGGGGAACCCUGACCGAGCAACGCCGCGUGAGUGAAGAAGGUUUUCGGAUCGUAAAGCUCUGUUGUUAAGGAAGAACGAGUGUGAGAAUGGAAAGUUCAUGCUGU